UAAGGGCGCACGGUGGAUGCCUUGGCACUAGAAGCCGAUGAAGGACGUUACUAACGACGAUAUGCUUUGGGGAGCUGUAAGUAAGCUUUGAUCCAGAGAUUUCCGAAUGGGGAAACCCAGCAUGAGUUAUGUCAUGUUAUCGAUAUGUGAAUACAUAGCAUAUCAGAAGGCACACCCGGAGAACUGAAACAUCUUAGUACCCGGAGGAAGAGAAAGAAAAUUCGAUUCCCUUAGUAGCGGCGAGCGAAACGGGAAGAGCCCAAACCAACAAGCUUGCUUGUUGGGGUUGUAGGACACUCUAUACGGAGUUACAAAGGACGACAUUAGACGAAUCAUCUGGAAAGAUGAAUCAAAGAAGGUAAUAAUCCUGUAGUCGAAAAUGUUGUCUCUCUUGAGUGGAUCCUGAGUACGACGGAGCACGUGAAAUUCCGUCGGAAUCUGGGAGGACCAUCUCCUAAGGCUAAAUACUCUCUAGUGACCGAUAGUGAACCAGUACCGUGAGGGAAAGGUGAAAAGCACCCCGGAAGGGGAGUGAAAUAGAACCUGAAACCGUGUGCUUACAAGUAGUCAGAGCCCGUUAAUGGGUGAUGGCGUGCCUUUUGUAGAAUGAACCGGCGAGUUACGAUUUGAUGCAAGGUUAAGCAGUAAAUGUGGAGCCGUAGCGAAAGCGAGUCUGAAUAGGGCGUUUAGUAUUUGGUCGUAGACCCGAAACCAGGUGAUCUACCCUUGGUCAGGUUGAAGUUCAGGUAACACUGAAUGGAGGACCGAACCGACUUACGUUGAAAAGUGAGCGGAUGAACUGAGGGUAGCGGAGAAAUUCCAAUCGAACCUGGAGAUAGCUGGUUCUCUCCGAAAUAGCUUUAGGGCUAGCCUCAAGUGAUGAUUAUUGGAGGUAGAGCACUGUUUGGACGAGGGGCCCCUCUCGGGUUACCGAAUUCAGACAAACUCCGAAUGCCAAUUAAUUUAACUUGGGAGUCAGAACAUGGGUGAUAAGGUCCGUGUUCGAAAGGGAAACAGCCCAGACCACCAGCUAAGGUCCCAAAAUAUAUGUUAAGUGGAAAAGGAUGUGGCGUUGCCCAGACAACUAGGAUGUUGGCUUAGAAGCAGCCAUCAUUUAAAGAGUGCGUAAUAGCUCACUAGUCGAGUGACACUGCGCCGAAAAUGUACCGGGGCUAAACAUAUUACCGAAGCUGUGGAUUGUCCUUUGGACAAUGGUAGGAGAGCGUUCUAAGG
This 1233-nucleotide ribosomal RNA is filed under the name Staphylococcus aureus. RNAcentral's name for it is "partial 23S ribosomal RNA". It matches the Rfam family "Bacterial large subunit ribosomal RNA", at positions 12 to 1246 of the family's 2925-position model. Lineage: Bacteria; Bacillati; Bacillota; Bacilli; Caryophanales; Staphylococcaceae. The record is from RNAcentral.